GCGGGGGUAGCCGAGUAGGCCAAAGGCGCGGGACUUAAGAUCCCGUCCUUAGUGGUUCAUGGGUUCGAAUCCCAUCCCCCGCACCA
This 86-nucleotide transfer RNA is filed under the name Candidatus Methanomethylophilaceae archaeon. RNAcentral's name for it is "tRNA-Leu". It matches the Rfam family "tRNA". Rfam says of the family: Transfer RNA (tRNA) molecules are approximately 80 nucleotides in length. The record is from RNAcentral. Lineage: Archaea; Methanobacteriati; Thermoplasmatota; Thermoplasmata; Methanomassiliicoccales; Methanomethylophilaceae.